This 495-nucleotide ribosomal RNA is filed under the name uncultured bacterium. RNAcentral describes it as "partial 16S ribosomal RNA". It matches the Rfam family "Bacterial small subunit ribosomal RNA", at positions 28 to 507 of the family's 1533-position model. The record is from RNAcentral.
GACGAACGCUGGCGGCGUGCCUAAUACAUGCAAGUAGAACGCUGAAGGAGGAGCUUGCUUCUCUGGAUGAGUUGCGAACGGGUGAGUAACGCGUAGGUAACCUGCCUGGUAGCGGGGGAUAACUAUUGGAAACGAUAGCUAAUACCGCAUAGUAGUAGAUGUUGCAUGACAUUUGCUUAAAAGGUGCAAUUGCAUCACUACCAGAUGGACCUGCGUUGUAUUAGCUAGUUGGUGGGGUAACGGCUCACCAAGGCGACGAUACAUAGCCGACCUGAGAGGGUGAUCGGCCACACUGGGACUGAGACACGGCCCAGACUCCUACGGGAGGCAGCAGUAGGGAAUCUUCGGCAAUGGACGGAAGUCUGACCGAGCAACGCCGCGUGAGUGAAGAAGGUUUUCGGAUCGUAAAGCUCUGUUGUAAGAGAAGAACGAGUGUGAGAGUGGAAAGUUCACACUGUGACGGUAUCUUACCAGAAAGGGACGGCUAACUACGUG